AAAUUGAAGAGUUUGAUCAUGGCUCAGAUUGAACGCUGGCGGCAGGCCUAACACAUGCAAGUCGAACGGUAACAGGAAGCAGCUUGCUGCUUCGCUGACGAGUGGCGGACGGGUGAGUAAUGUCUGGGAAACUGCCUGAUGGAGGGGGAUAACUACUGGAAACGGUGGCUAAUACCGCAUAACGUCGCAAGACCAAAGAGGGGGACCUUCGGGCCUCUUGCCAUCAGAUGUGCCCAGAUGGGAUUAGCUAGUUGGUGAGGUAACGGCUCACCAAGGCGACGAUCCCUAGCUGGUCUGAGAGGAUGACCAGCCACACUGGAACUGAGACACGGUCCAGACUCCUACGGGAGGCAGCAGUGGGGAAUAUUGCACAAUGGGCGCAAGCCUGAUGCAGCCAUGCCGCGUGUAUGAAGAAGGCCUUCGGGUUGUAAAGUACUUUCAGCGGGGAGGAAGGUGUUGUGGUUAAUAACCGCAGCAAUUGACGUUACCCGCAGAAGAAG
This 500-nucleotide ribosomal RNA is filed under the name Salmonella enterica. RNAcentral describes it as "bacterial SSU rRNA". It matches the Rfam family "Bacterial small subunit ribosomal RNA", at positions 1 to 490 of the family's 1533-position model. The record is from RNAcentral. Lineage: Bacteria; Pseudomonadati; Pseudomonadota; Gammaproteobacteria; Enterobacterales; Enterobacteriaceae.